AAAGACUUGACGGUACUUCACAACAACCUAGAGGAGCCUGUCUAAUAACCGAUACCCCACGAUUAACCGCACCUACUCUAGCCCAAUCAGUCUAUAUACCGCCGUCGCCAGCCUACCUUAUGAAAGAAAUAAAGUAAGCACAACAAGACCACCCCUAACACGACAGGUCGAGGUGUAACUAAUGAGUAGGAAAAAGAUGGACUACAUUUUCUAACACAGAAUAUACGAAUAAACUAUGAAACUAGAAACUGAAGGCGGAUUUAGCAGUAUGAUAAGAAUAGAAUGCCUAACUGAAACCAAUGCAAUGAAGUGCGUACACACCGCCCGUCAUCCCUG
Molecule: ribosomal RNA, 336 nt
Filed under: Helicops gomesi
Lineage: Eukaryota; Metazoa; Chordata; Lepidosauria; Squamata; Dipsadidae
Description: partial 12S ribosomal RNA
Source: RNAcentral